ACUGCUCAGUAACACGUGGACAACCUACCCUGAAGAGGGGGAUAACCCCGGGAAACUGGGGAUAAUACCCCAUAGACUAUGGAUGCUGGAAUGCUCUGUAGUUCAAAGGUCCGCCGCUUCAGGAUGGGUCUGCGGCCGAUUAGGUUGUUGUUGGGGUAACGGCCCAACAAGCCUGUAAUCGGUACGGGUUGUGGGAGCAAGAGCCCGGAGAUGGAUUCUGAGACACGAAUCCAGGCCCUACGGGGCGCAGCAGGCGCGAAAACUUCGCAAUGCGAGAAAUCGUGACAAGGGAACUCCGAGUGCCUGUAAAAUCAGGCUGUCCGCCAGUGUAAACAACUGGUGAAGAAAGGGCCGGGCAAGACCGGUGCCAGCCGCCGCGGUAAUACCGGCGGCUCGAGUGGUGGCCACUAUUACUGGGCUUAAAGCGUUCGUAGCUGGCUUGUUAAGUCUCUGGGGAAAUCUUCCGGCUUAACCGGAAGGCGUCUCAGGGAUACUGGCAGGCUAGGGACCGGAAGAGGUGAGAGGUACUCCGGGGGUAGGAGUGAAAUCCUGUAAUCCUUGGGGGACCACCUGUGGCGAAGGCGUCUCACCAGGACGGCUCCGACAGUGAGGAACGAAAGCUGGGGGAGCAAACCGGAUUAGAUACCCGGGUAGUCCCAGCUGUAAACGAUGCGCGUUAGGUGUAUCGGUGACCACGAGUCACCGAGGUGCCGAAGAGAAAUCGUGAAACGUGCCGCCUGGGAAGUACGGUCGCAAGGCUGAAACUUAAAGGAAUUGGCGGGGGAGCAC
RNAcentral lists this ribosomal RNA (789 nucleotides) under uncultured archaeon. RNAcentral's name for it is "bacterial SSU rRNA". It matches the Rfam family "Archaeal small subunit ribosomal RNA", at positions 85 to 879 of the family's 1478-position model. The record is from RNAcentral.